AUAUCAAUAAGCGGAGGAAAAGAAACCAACAGGGAUUGCCCUAGUAACGGCGAGUGAAGCGGCAACAGCUCAAAUUUGAAAUCUGGCCUUCGGGUCCGAAUUGUAAUUUGUAGAGGAUGCUUUUGGUGCGGUACCUUUCGAGUUCCCUGGAACGGGACGCCUUAGAGGGUGAGAGCCCCGUACGAUUGGAUACCAAGCCUCUGUAUAGCUCCUUCGACGAGUCGAGUAGUUUGGGAAUGCUGCUCUAAAUGGGAGGUAAAUUUCUUCUAAAGCUAAAUACCGGCCAGAGACCGAUAGCGCACAAGUA
RNAcentral lists this ribosomal RNA (307 nucleotides) under uncultured Xylariaceae. RNAcentral's name for it is "partial large subunit ribosomal RNA". It matches the Rfam family "Eukaryotic large subunit ribosomal RNA", at positions 40 to 350 of the family's 3401-position model. The record is from RNAcentral. Lineage: Eukaryota; Fungi; Ascomycota; Sordariomycetes; Xylariales; Xylariaceae.